Molecule: ribosomal RNA, 257 nt
Filed under: uncultured bacterium
Lineage: Bacteria
Description: partial 16S ribosomal RNA
Rfam family: Bacterial small subunit ribosomal RNA
Source: RNAcentral
CGGGUGAGUAACACGUAGGUAACCUGCCCAUGUGCCCGGGAUAACUUCUGGAAACGGAUGCUAAAACCGGAUAGGUAGCAGACAAGCAUUUGACUGCUAUUAAAGUGGCUAAGGCCAUGAACAUGGAUGGACCUGCGGUGCAUUAGCUAGUUGGUGAGGUAACGGCCCACCAAGGCGACGAUGCAUAGCCGGCCUGAGAGGGCGGACGGCCACAUUGGGACUGAGACACGGCCCAAACUCCUACGGGAGGCAGCAUG